UAUGUUAAUCUAGGUAUUUCUAUGAUCGUGAAGGAAUUCACAGAUUUCGAAUCAGAGCCCCGGAUGUUCCGAUUAAAUAAUUUGAAGUUUAUGUUUUAUAAUAACUGUCAGAUCGUACGAUCGUGAGCGAUCCGACCGUCCGAUCUCGACCAAACUUGCAGGACAAGUGUCCUAUACCUUGUAGAACCCAUAGGAACUUUCGGAUCGAAAUUUGGAGGUUAUGGGCCCCGUGGGCUCGUUUGACCAGGGUUAGGGUAGUUUGACCCUUGGUUGACCGUGAGUCUCCCGGAGUAAUCUCACCUUCCUAAGGGGAUUAUCA
This 319-nucleotide long non-coding RNA is filed under the name Prunus persica (peach). Its description in RNAcentral is "long non-coding RNA (PPER_LNC007628)". Lineage: Eukaryota; Viridiplantae; Streptophyta; Magnoliopsida; Rosales; Rosaceae. The record is from RNAcentral.